GUCUCAAGAAAUGGGUAGAACUUUUGUAAAAAGGGAAAGGGAGGAUAAAUUGUAGGUAGAACUGAGAUUCACAGUAGGACUGAGCUGAAAGAAGCACCUCAACUACUCACUAUAAUUAAUAGUAAAUUAAUUUUUUUGCCCACUUGAGUUGGGGUACUCUACUGCUUAUGUCCAGGGUAUUCUGAUACACUUCCAUUAACUGUAAUUGUUAAGUCAGAAGAACAUCUGGUUUUCAGAGGCUAUAAAUUCAUAUCAGUUUAAAAGCACAAGUAUAAUCUAAGAGAAAGAAAGCAAAAUUCUAGAUCUGAAGAAAGUGUUAAAUGGGUGGAUUGAUCGAUUGAUUGAUUAAUUGGGGAGUUGCAUGCUCAGAGAGGAAGUCUGAAGUCAAAGGGGAAAUGCAUAGAGAAUGCAGAAAAAAAGUCUUAGUUACCUGGACUCUACAUUAGCAGGACGAAAUGGAAAUUAGUGAAGGAGACAGAGGUGGGGGGAAGCUAAAAAUGCUUCAAAUGCUGCCAUGCAAACUAAGGUCAAGUUUCUGUCACUAUAACAAAUAUCAGAGACAAUCAAAAAUAAGAGAGGUUUACUUUGGCUCACAGUUUGGAGGUUUCAACCUAUGAUCAAUGGGUUCUGUGGCUUUUGGGCCUGUGGCAAGGCAGCACAUUAUGGUGGGGAGCAGGUGGUGGAGCAGACCAUUCACCUCAUGGCCUAGAAGUGAAUUAAAGGAAGAGGAAGGGACUAGGGAUCCCACGGUCCCCUUUGAGGCUGCACCUCUCAAAGACCUAAAGACCUCUCACUAGGCCCCACCUCUUAAAGUUUCCACAUUCCCAACAGAGCCAAGGGUUAGACCAAGCCUUUAACACAUGGGCUAUGGAGGACAUUAAUCCAAACCAUAGCAUAGACCAAGAAGAGGAUUCAAAAAGAAAGGUGUUAAAGUCUGCAUCAGAUUCCACAAAGAAACAAAGUAGGAAAUUACAAAGAUGUGGUUAGGUAGAGAAAACUACAAGGUCAUCAUAGGGAGAAGAUUAAACAGAAACAAAUAUAGUUUUAGUGGAGUGGAGUAGUGGUAACAAAAGCCAGAUAUGAGAUGUGAGUGGAAGAGAGCAUUGAGCAGCAUCGAUGAAGUAAUGGGACCUCCUUGCAGAAGGAUGGUAGUUGUGGAAAAC
Molecule: long non-coding RNA, 1163 nt
Filed under: Marmota monax (woodchuck)
Lineage: Eukaryota; Metazoa; Chordata; Mammalia; Rodentia; Sciuridae
Source: RNAcentral